GAUGAACGCUGGCGGCGUGCCUAAUACAUGCAAGUCGAGCGAACGGACGAGAAGCUUGCUUCUCUGAUGUUAGCGGCGGACGGGUGAGUAACACGUGGAUAACCUACCUAUAAGACUGGGAUAACUUCGGGAAACCGGAGCUAAUACCGGAUAAUAUUUUGAACCGCAUGGUUCAAAAGUGAAAGACGGUCUUGCUGUCACUUAUAGAUGUAUCCGCGCUGCAUUAGCUAGUUGGUAAGGUAACGGCUUACCAAGGCAACGAUGCAUAGCCGACCUGAGAGGGUGAUCGGCCACACUGGAACUGAGACACGGUCCAGACUACUACGGGAGGCAGCAGUAGGGAAUCUGCCGCAAUGGGCGAAAGCCUGACGGAGCAACGCCGCGUGAGUGAUGAAGGUCUUCGGAUCGUAAAACUCUGUUAUUAGGGAAGAACAUAUGUGUAAGUAACUGUGCACAGCUUGACGGUACCUAAUCAGAAAGCCACGGCUAACUACGUG
RNAcentral lists this ribosomal RNA (497 nucleotides) under uncultured bacterium. RNAcentral's name for it is "partial 16S ribosomal RNA". It matches the Rfam family "Bacterial small subunit ribosomal RNA", at positions 28 to 507 of the family's 1533-position model. The record is from RNAcentral.